RNAcentral lists this long non-coding RNA (767 nucleotides) under Micromonas commoda. Its description in RNAcentral is "long non-coding RNA (MCOM_LNC000056)". Lineage: Eukaryota; Viridiplantae; Chlorophyta; Mamiellophyceae; Mamiellales; Mamiellaceae. The record is from RNAcentral.
GAGAGUUGUAAGAUUAUUGUCAGGUCAACUUUCGUCUUCACAGGAGCUAAUACAUGUUCGGGUUUUAUUAAUAAGUGUAUAGAUAUGUCACGAAACUUAUUACGAACGAAGGUACGAAUGAAGGUACCUUCGAAGGUACAUAUAUAUAUACAGUACCUUGAUUGCUUCAUAUACAUACGAACGAAGGUACCUUCGUUCGUACGAAUGAAGGUAUUAUUUAUUAUUAAGGGUUACGAAACGUACAAAUAAAUAAAGCUGAAACGUAUGGAUACGUACGCGUAUACGUUGAAACGUAUAUCCAUACCUUCGUUCGUACCUUCGUACCAAGCGAUCGAGGUACCUUUAUUUGUACCUUCGAAGGUACCAAGGUAUAGAAUACCUUCGAACGAAGGUACCCAUAUAUAGACUAGAUAGACUACUAAUAAAAUAAUAAAUAAAACGUGUGUUAAUUAAUUAAAGAAUUUUUUUUGGGCACCGGGAAUAAUAAUUAUGGUCAUCCUUGAGUUAAUUACCUGAAGCGCGCCACGAGCUACCAGGAGCGGUUUUUCACCUGAGCAAGAUGCGCGCUCACGUAGCCGCUGACGUGCGAGUAACAAGCGGCACGCUGUAUCUUUAGGGUUCGCGCCGUGUCUUUAGGGGGUCGGGGUUGGGUUUUCAGGGUUUAGAGUUUAAACAGCCGCGAAGCGGCUCGUCGGCAUCUCCCUAUACACAUCCUGAAGCGCGCCACGCCCCCCCCCUAAAAAGCCCGAUUGCUGGUUGCUUGGAAA